ACUGCGCUACUAUUGGUGGAAUCAAUGCCCUUCUGCUGUGCAGAGUUUGCACUGUGCAACAUUUGUAUCCAAGUUCUUUGUUAAUAGGGUUCAUCAUUGGAGUUGAAAAGUAUAUCAACAUGUCCAAACCCAAGCUACAUUAUUUUAAUGGAAGAGGGAAAAUGGAGUCUAUUCGCUGGCUUUUGGCAGCUGCCGGCGUUGAGUUUGAGGAAGAAUACCUUGAGACCAGGGAACAGUAUGAAAAACUACUGAAAGAUGGAGCUCUCUUAUAUGAACAGGUACCUAUGGUUGAAAUUGAUGGAAUGAAAUUGGUCCAGACCAAUGCUAUUAUGAACUACAUAGCGGCAAAAUACAAUCUUUAUGGAAAAGAUAUCCAGGAAAGAGCACUAAUUGACAUGUAUGCAGAGGGAGCCAGAGAUUUAAUGAUUCUUGUGAUGCGUCAUGUAUUCCUUCCUUCUGCAGAAAAGGACGGAAAUCUUAUACUGAUAAUCAACAAGGCCAAAAAUAGAUAUUUUCCAGCAUUUGAGAAGAUCCUAAGUCAACAAAAUGGAUAUUUGGUUGGUGACCAGCUCAGUGUUGCUGACCUUAACUUGCUAGAGGUUAUCUUGAUGAUUGAAGAAAAUGCUCCCCUCAUUCUGGCUGACUACCCUCAGCUGCAGAGAUUCAAGUUGAAAAUCAGCAGUAUCCCAAGAAUUCAAAAGUUCCUAAAACCUGGCAGUCCCAGAAAGCCACCACCGGACGAUCAGUACAUUCAGACUAAAUCUGUGGAUUUUUAUUGAUUGGGAGGAGGUCAUCAGAAGAAAAAAGGUUGAGAACCCCUGCUCUUGUAAAUUGAUCAUGGCAUUUCCCACCAGAGAAACAAAAGAAAAGAAAAUCCGUGGGAAGUGCAAGAUAGCAGCUUGGCAACAAUUUGUCUAUCCUGAGGAACGCAGCACUUGUCAGCUCAGUGGAAUCGGUGUCACCAUAUUUUUAACAUAACUAAUGAGGUAAUUCAGUUUGAACGUGUGGCAAUCCUCAGGAAAGAAUGAUUAGAAUGUAUUUUAUCUUCAUCACAUUCCCAGACUGUGCAUCUGUUAGUGUUUGCUCUAACAUGAUGCAGCUGUCAGCUCACUUGCUGUUCAGAAAGAUAUACAGUAUGAGCAUGGUAGAAUCACUGCAAGGUUUAAUUCCUGUUUAAUAAUUGCUGCCUUCUUCAUGUAAUGAUCUCUCAGUAUGCUGCAUUCUCCACUUAAUGUUAUCUGUGCAUGCCAAUUCUCACAAAUCUGGAUGGUUUUGUGUACAAUAAUUUCCUAUCAUUAUACCUUUUAAAUAGAUGAUCUUAUCCUGCAUGUUGUUUUAUAUUUUCUGAUUGCUGGGCAUUCUGGCUGCAAGACAUUUAAACUCACUAUGUUCUAUCCUGUGUGGUGUUAUUAGCAUAAUUUCAUUUCAUUGUGGUCUGUCCAAGAAUUAUCCCAGAUU
Molecule: RNA transcript, 1458 nt
Organism: Carcharodon carcharias (great white shark)
Lineage: Eukaryota; Metazoa; Chordata; Chondrichthyes; Lamniformes; Lamnidae
Gene: gsta.1
Gene name: glutathione S-transferase, alpha tandem duplicate 1
Exons: 9
Source: RefSeq, a predicted model, not a curated record